Molecule: ribosomal RNA, 586 nt
Filed under: uncultured bacterium
Lineage: Bacteria
Description: bacterial SSU rRNA
Rfam family: Bacterial small subunit ribosomal RNA
Source: RNAcentral
CCUACGGGAGGCAGCAGUAGGGAAUCUUCCGCAAUGGACGAAAGUCUGACGGGGCAACGCCGCGUGAGCGAUGAAGGCCUUCGGGUCGUAAAGCUCUGUUGUCAGGGAAGAACAAGUACCGGAGUAACUGCCGGUACCUUGACGGUACCUGACCAGAAAGCCACGGCUAACUACGUGCCAGCAGCCGCGGUAAUACGUAGGGUGCGAGCGUUAAUCGGAAUUACUGGGCGUAAAGCGUGCGCAGGCGGUUUUGUAAGCCAGAUGUGAAAUCCCCGGGCUUAACCUGGGAAUGGCAUUUGGGACUGCAAGGCUGGAGUAUGGCAGAGGGGACUAGAAUUCCUGGUGUAGCAGUGAAAUGCGUAGAUAUCAGGAGGAAUACCGAUGGCGAAGGCAGGUCCCUGGGCUAAUACUGACGCUCAUGCACGAAAGCGUGGGGAGCAAACAGGAUUAGAUACCCUGGUAGUCCACGCCCUAAACGAUGUCGACUGGUUGUUGGGGGUUUGACACUCUCAGUAACGAAGCUAACGCGUGAAGUCGACCGCCUGGGGAGUACGGCCGCAAGGUUAAAACUCAAAGGAAUUGACGG